RNAcentral lists this non-coding RNA (365 nucleotides) under Dracunculus medinensis (Guinea worm). RNAcentral's name for it is "Eukaryotic small subunit ribosomal RNA". It matches the Rfam family "Eukaryotic small subunit ribosomal RNA", at positions 65 to 424 of the family's 1831-position model. Lineage: Eukaryota; Metazoa; Nematoda; Chromadorea; Rhabditida; Dracunculidae. The record is from Rfam by way of RNAcentral.
AUAAAUAAACAAAUCUCGAGCAAUGAUGCGGAAACAAUUACAACAGCUAUUAUAUACUUGAUCUUGAUUUCCUACGUGGAUAACUGUGGUAAUUCUAGAGCUAAUACAUGCACCAAAGCUCCGAUUUUAUUGACGAGCGCAUCUAUUAGAUUAAAACCAAUCGAGCUUUAAACGGCUCGUUAAUUGGUGACUCUGAAUAGCUUAGCUGAUCGCAUGGUCUAGUACCGGCGACAUAUCUAUCAAGUAUCUGCCUUAUCAACUUUCGAUGGUAGUUUAUGUGCCUACCAUGGUUGUAACGGGUAACGGAGAAUAAGGGUUCGACUCCGGAGAGGGAGCCUGAGAAACGGCUACCACUUCACCAGAAC